GUCGAGCGGUAGAGAGAAGCUUGCUUCUCUUGAGAGCGGCGGACGGGUGAGUAAUGCCUAGGAAUCUGCCUGGUAGUGGGGGAUAACGUUCGGAAACGGACGCUAAUACCGCAUACGUCCUACGGGAGAAAGCAGGGGACCUUCGGGCCUUGCGCUAUCAGAUGAGCCUAGGUCGGAUUAGCUAGUUGGUGGGGUAAUGGCUCACCAAGGCGACGAUCCGUAACUGGUCUGAGAGGAUGAUCAGUCACACUGGAACUGAGACACGGUCCAGACUCCUACGGGAGGCAGCAGUGGGGAAUAUUGGACAAUGGGCGAAAGCCUGAUCCAGCCAUGCCGCGUGUGUGAAGAAGGUCUUCGGAUUGUAAAGCACUUUAAGUUGGGAGGAAGGGCAGUUGCCUAAUACGUAACUGUUUUGACGUUACCGACAGAAUAAGCACCGGCUAACUCUGUGCCAGCAGCCGCGGUAAUACAGAGGGUGCAAGCGUUAAUCGGAAUUACUGGGCGUAAAGCGCGCGUAGGUGGUUUGUUAAGUUGGAUGUGAAAUCCCCGGGCUCAACCUGGGAACUGCAUUCAAAACUGACUGACUAGAGUAUGGUAGAGGGUGGUGGAAUUUCCUGUGUAGCGGUGAAAUGCGUAGAUAUAGGAAGGAACACCAGUGGCGAAGGCGACCACCUGGACUAAUACUGACACUGAGGUGCGAAAGCGUGGGGAGCAAACAGGAUUAGAUACCCU
RNAcentral lists this ribosomal RNA (732 nucleotides) under Pseudomonas sp. RNAcentral describes it as "bacterial SSU rRNA". It matches the Rfam family "Bacterial small subunit ribosomal RNA", at positions 61 to 788 of the family's 1533-position model. The record is from RNAcentral. Lineage: Bacteria; Pseudomonadati; Pseudomonadota; Gammaproteobacteria; Pseudomonadales; Pseudomonadaceae.